This 977-nucleotide small RNA is filed under the name Rattus norvegicus (Norway rat). Its description in RNAcentral is "uncharacterized LOC102547162". Lineage: Eukaryota; Metazoa; Chordata; Mammalia; Rodentia; Muridae. The record is from RNAcentral.
UAGAGGAGGUGGGGCCAGGGCAAGUAUCCCAAAAAUAGCCAUCUGGGAGCCUGGGAGCCCUGCCUCUGAGGUCAGAUUUGGAACUGAGAAUCCCAGAGAGACUCUGUUCUCAUACUCUCCGUGGAAUGUCCUCUCGGGCAAGCCAUCUGGACACUCUGGGAAGAAGGUACAGGCCCGCUGUGUACAGGGAGGUCCCUGUGGUAAGUUCUUCUGCUUUGAAAGUAUUUGUAGAUUAAGAGCCCCGGUUGGCAUGAGCAACCGGAAGCGGGCAGAAGCGAAGCAAGGCUCUGGACUUUAACUCUGCAGCUCCUCAUCCGUCAAACAGCGGAGCAUAAAAACCAACAGCUGUGGAUCCCGAUGUCUGGCAGCUCCAUAUGGGAAGCUGAUCCCGGCCUCUUUACUCAGUUACUCUUCCCCGUGCCUUUCCCAAGUCCAAAACACCAGUGAAGACAUCUUUGAAGGCUGAGAGACCCAUGAAGAUCCCAUUCCUACACUUGGCUGCAGGAGACCCUGAAUACCAUACAAACCUCUCUGAGCUUCCCAAACAGAUCUACAAUCUACAAGGGAUCCUGAGACUCUCGCCCCCACGCCCCUCUCUUUAGGAAGGGUUGUGUGUCUACUUGUUCAAGACAAGAAGAUAUUUCUAUAGAUCAGACUGGCCUUGAACUUACCAUGAAGCCUAGGGUGACCUUGAACUCCUGGUGCUCCUGCCUCCAUGUCCUGAAUGCUAGGAUAUUUGUGUGUACCAUCUCCUGACACCAAGCCCAGAAACCUGUAUGCAGUGCUCAGAGGUCAUACGUGCGUGCAUGGUGCGUUAUUCUUACCACAUUUUCAAAUGCAGCAUGGUGUGGGGGCCACACAGAACAAAGCACCUGGUACAGUGCAGAGUCUGUGCUUGGCAUAUGACCCUCCAAACCACCAAAACGGGGGAAGGAGGGAGAGGGGAAGAGGGAGACACAGAGAGACAGAGACACAGA